AAGUGAGCUGUAGCUCACGAAAGCUUAUGCUCAAAUAAAUUUGUUAGUCUCUAAGGUGCCACAAGUACUCCUUUUCUUUUUAGCCAGCACAGGACACCAGAACCUCCUGAGUACAGGAAAGAGAAGGGCUACCUGAGGUCAGAAGUGGUGACCUGGCUCAUGUGGAAGUACAAUGCUUCUUGUAAACAGAAGAAGGCUGGAGACAGCAGCCUGAGAGCUGGUCAAAGAGAGAAGACUGGAGAGCAGGUAGCCUUAGCGUUGGGUCAAGUCAGAUGGUUGUAGGCACAGGGCUAGUAGUAUCUGCAGCAGGAGCAUACACGGCUGUGGUCUGCAGGCAGAAGGAUACUGAGAAAGAGUUACACUGGGACUCACAGGUCUGCUAGACACUUAAAAAUUAGGUCAACCUAGCUAUGUCACUCAGGGCUGUGAAAAAUGUUGUGCCAUGGACACUGUAGUUAGGUUGACCUAAACCCUGGUGUAGAUGUGGCUGCCAACCAACUACCACCUCUUGGAGAGAUGGAUUUACUACACUGAGGAAAAACCCCUUUCAUCGACAUAGGAAGCAUCUACACUACAGUGGCACAACAGCUGUGCCACUGUUGUGUAGAUAUGCCCUUACUUUCAUAUCCCUGUACUGGACUGCCCUUAGGGACUGGAUUGGGAACUGUUCUUUUGAUCUUUGUGUUGUGACUUAAGCAAUUUUACCAAGGAUAACUGCACUUUUUAUUUUGGCAACUCUUGCAAAGGAAUCUGCCCUGGCACACAAAGUGUGCAACUGUUUCUGACAACCCACCAAGGACUAGAGCCUGAAGAGCUGAGUGUUUGGAGCACAGACAGCACUUUUCUCCAAAUCUGUGGGUCCAUGGAGUGGAACCCUGGUGCAAAGAGAAGGCCUAGGUUCCCCCUACAAGACACUGAUAUCGUGGCGUGAGGCUGCAGAAAGAAAGAAGAGUGACAGAGACCUCUGACAAAAGGGAAUAAGGACCACAGAGAGCAGGUUUGGUUCUAAAGACUUGAUACAAGGUAUUUGAUAUUGGUUUGUUGGCCUUUGUUACCCGAGAAGGGGUGGACUUAAAUCGUGGCAUGCAUGGAGGACCAGGUUACGGGACUGGGUGGACUGCAGAACACCAGAGCAGCCAUCAAUAGGGGAUCCCAGAUGUGGAGCGAGUCACUAUGCCAUACCCAGUCCCAAGGAGAUACUUCAGUGAGAACCAGGGAAGUGACAUCACUGGAGCUGAAUGGCUUCUUCAGCAUUUAGCUCCAUGCUGAAGCCUGCACAAUUAGUGGACAUUGCUGCUCCCCAGGCCCCAUGACUUCCCAGGAAGCCUCUCCUAAUUCUUAGAUGGGUACUCCACGUAAAGAGAACAAUAUUCCAGAAAAGGAACUACAAGGCAGUGAGACUGCAGAACAGCUGAGCUGGAAAAAUCCAAGAUUGCAGCUGCCAGGACCAAAUCCUGUCUCCUUCUCACUUUCUCUUCUGAGGGGCUAGGCAGGCCAUUCAUCCAAUUUUAAACCAGACAGUCCUCUUUUUUGGGUGGUUUGUCCCCAUCUGGUAAAAUCACUGUAGUUUUAUCCAGUAUCGGAUGGUGUCUGCCAUUUUGAAGAGCAUGCUGCUCCGCCCUGUGACCUUGCAAGCAAGGUUACUCCAGUGGGGAUGGGGUUCCUGGAAGUACUGGAAUAUUCAGUAUUCUGGGGAUGCAUGAGUGGCCACCCUAACAGGGAUCCCUAGCACUAAAAAUGAUUUUUGUGAGCUAAUUUCUGAGUUUAAAUCUCCAAAAUCCCUUCUAAAUAUCAAACUGGAUGAAUUUAAGCCUGAUAUCACCAAACUGGGGUUAGAUAGAGUGGUCUGGAAACAGGAAAAGAGGAGAGAUUUGAGACAGAACAGAAUUAAAGUGCUAGAAAGAGAGAGCUGACAGAGAAGAUAUAAGAUGUCUCUUAUAAGCAUGAGUUGUGUGACUCCUGGAGCCAUCGUCUUCUAAAGGUAAGUAGCUACUCCUUUUCAGUACCUAACAGAAUAUAUACAAGAAUUGAUAUGACUCUAAUCUUUAGAUCUUUACUUCAUACAGGAACAUCAGCACAGCAAGGCUGCGUCUCCUGGUUAGAUCACAUUUCAGUUUGGCUUUUUAUUAGAAACUGGGAAGACAAACCUACAAUGAAAAGAUGGGGAUAAAAUAUCCCACUUCUGUAUGACCAGAAAAGAAUUCAAGAUAUCAGACAGGAAACUAAGCAAUAAUUUAAAGAAAACAAUACAGAGCAGAUUUUAAGAAGUCCUCUAUAGGAUGCCUUCCAAGUAGAGACUAGGGGCAGUUUAAUAAAUAAUCCUAUCUCAAAAAAGAAGUGCAAACAUUGCUCAAGGAGGUUGAACAAUUUAAAUUUACACCAGACAAAUCAAUCACAGAAAAUAUAUUAAAAAUGAAGAAGCUAGAAGUAAGUUAGAUUUACUUGAAACAGAAAAAAAUGACCAGGUAAUCAGAUACACAAAGCUAUACUAUGAAAAAGGGUAAUGAAAGUGAUAAAUAAUUAGCUAAUAUGCUAACAACAUUUAAAAAAAAGUGAAAUCAUAUCCUCCAGUCUGCAAGGCUCCAAAUGAAUUGGCAACUGGCCCAAAAUGGGUGAGGCUUUUGCAGACUUCUAUAGGAGGCUUUACUCCUUAGAGUCAGCUGACGAUAAGCUGAUAAAGAAAUAAUUAGUUAAAGCUAAUGUACCAAAACUAGAACACCUAGAUGCCAUGGAGAAAGAUAUUAAACUAGAGGAAGUCCUAUAAGUUAUUAAGUCCCUUAAAAAUGAUCAAGCUAUUGGCCCUGAUGGAUUUCCUCCAGAAUUCUCUAAUUUUUUUAGGGCACAAUUAAUAUGACAAUUAAUAGAUGUCAUCAAUUAAAUUUCAAAAGGAAAUAAAUAUAUUGUAUGCUGUGUGAGAUGCACGAAUUGUAGUUAUCGCAAAACGUGCUAAGGAGUUAUCCAACUAUGUGUCUUACAGGCCCAUAUCCCUAUUAAAUCAAGAUGGAAAAAUUUAUGCUUCAGUCCUAGAAAAUAGACCGAAAAUUGUUACCUAGGUAUAUUAAAAGAUCAGACAGGGUUUGUAUUAAACAGAGAGCUAUCUGACAACAUUCAGAGUUUUAUGCCUGAUCUUCUUCAGACUCUACUAAUGAGAUCCAUCAUUUUUUACCACUAGAUAAAGAUAAAGCUUUUGCCUGACUGAAUUGGCAGUUCUUAAAAGAUACUGUAGAAACAUUUGGUUUAGGCCCUAAAUUUCAAAAUUGCAUUUCCAUCUUAUAUUCCAAUCCAUAUGCUAAUGGAUAUCUAUCAGAAAAAGUCCCCCUUUUUAUAGGCACAUGCCAAGAAAGACCCCAUUAUCAUCUUCUUUUUGCCAUGGUAAUGGAGUCAUUUGUCCAAUCAUUCAGAAACAAUACUAAUAUAAAUAGGAAACAACACAAACUAGCUUUCAUGUGCACGAUGUCAUGGCAUUUGUUACAAAUCCAGCUCACAUACUACUAGAAUUAUAAGAAAAGAUCUUAUAAUGUGGCAAAGUAUCAGAAUUCAGGUAAACUACGAUAAAUCAGAUUUACGGGACAUAAGCGUGGGUUCUGAUCUACAGAAAAAUAUAAAAGAUAAAUACAAAUGGGUAACUACAGUAGGACAGCUGGGAAUACACAUUUCUAAAAGAUGGCAAGACUUGCAUAAUAAUUAUACUCUUCUGAUUAAGAAAAUCAAAACAGAUCUAGAAAACUGGUUGAAGUAUGAUAUUUCAUGGUGAGGCAAAACUGUGGCAUUUAAAAUUAAUCUUACUCUUAAUUAACUUCCUUUUCCAAACACUUCUGGUUUUAGUCUUGGGAAGUCUUAAAUCAAUAGGAAUCCCUGAUAAACAAAUUCAGCUGGGGAAAUAAGAAACCCACAGUUAUGCAUUUACUUAACAAAGGCCAUGUAAAAAGGGAGUAUUCUCUUUACCAAACGUUAAGAUCUAUUACCAAGCCAGUCAGAUUAGAAACUUGAUAUAGUGGAUAACACCAAACCUUAAAAAGCACUGGGAAGAGAUUCAAGCUUACUGUUGUGCAAUCAAACUCCAUGUGAUCUGGAUAAAGAGAAGAGAAAGUUACUCACCCUGUGCAGUAACUGAGGUUCUUUGAGAUAUGUGUCCCUGUGAGUGCUCCACUUCAGGUGUUGGUGCUUCCCAGGACUGUUGAUCAGGGAUUUUCAGUUGCAGAGUCCGUCUGGGUCACAUGAGUGCAAUGGUUUUCUUGCGGUGCCGUUGGUACCUCAGCUAGUGCACACACGACCUGACCCCAUCAUUUCUUUCUCUUCCGCAGACUCCAUACUGCGAACUCCGAAGUAGAGGGGAGAAGGAAGGAGUAGUGGAGCACCCAUAGGGACACACAUCUUGAAGAACCUCUGUUACUGCACAGGGUGAGUAACCGCCUCUUCUUCUUAAAAUGAUGUCCCUGUGGGUGCUCCACUUCAGGUGAUUGUAGAGCAGUGCCCCCCUGUGGAUGGAAAGGUCUACAGAGUUGUAUGUAGAGAUGAACUUAUGCUCAAAUAAAUUUGUUAGUCUCUAAGGUGCCACAAGUCCUCCUUUUCUUUUUGAAGUUACUACCAUUACUCCUAGCAUUGCAUCUGAGUCUGAGCACUUAGUUAUCGCAUAAUGAUUCAUGAAAGUAUGUUCUGAGGCCCAGGUGGUGGUUCUACAUAUUUCUAUGAUCAGUACGUUGUUCAGGAAGGCUAUUGAGGUAGCCAUUGAUCUAGUCAAAUGAGUUCUGAUCCCUGAUGGGGGAUCUGUUUUGUUUUGUUGAUAACAGAAAUGGAUGCAAGUGGAGAUCCAUUUUGAUAGUCUCUGUGUGGCUAUGGCAGAGCCUUUGGAAUGCUCUGUCAUGGAAACAAAACACCUUGGAGACUUUUGGAAAGACAUAGUUCUCUCCAGGUAGAAUGCAAUUGCAUGUCUGAUGUCCAGGGUAUGUAGAAUAGCCUCCUGUGUGUUUCCAUGAGUUUGGGAUAGAAUAUAGGCAGAUGGAUUGGUUGGUUGAGAGGAAAGGAAGAUGAUAUUUUGGGUAUGAAUUUGGGGUGUGGUCUCAAACUGAUCUUGUAACUGAAAAAUAUGGUGUAUGGAGGGUACGCCGUGAGAGCUGCUAUUUUGCUUACUCAUCACAUGGACAUGAUUGCGACCAAGGACGCUACCUUCAUAGAUAGGUGAAUUAGGGAGCAGGUAUCUAAUGGUUCGAACAGAGAUCUGAUAAGGCUUCUGAGAACCAGAUUUAAGUCCCAUGCCGGUGUAGGGUUACAUAUUUCUGGAUAAACAUUCUUCAUCCCUGUGAGAAAGCAUUUAGUAAUCGGGUGCACGAAUAUUGACUCUCCAUCGAUCUUGUGAUGGAAGGUGGUAAUGGCAGUGAGCUUAUUGUAAGUCCUUAAUUUUUAAAUUCUAGUAUAUAGUCUAACACCAACAGAAGUGGCGCUAUAAAUGUGGUUAUUUGUUUGUUCUGAUGCCAAAAGUAGAACCUUUUCCAUUAUUGGAGGUAAGUAGCAUGCGUGGUUAAUCUCCUGCUGUUUAAUAAUACGUGUUUAACCUGUUCCAAAAGGGCAAACUCAUCAUGUUGGAGCCAUGGAUGAGCCACCCCUUCAAGUGAAGUUUUUCCAAAUUUGGGUGGAGAAUCUGACCGUCGUCCUGUGAGAGCAGGUCUGGCCUGUGUGGGAGAGUUCAUGGAUUGCAGGUCGCCAUGAGUAUCAAUUUCAUCAUCGACACUGCUACAGAGCUUCGUCUCAGGCCGAGGACAGUUGAGAAGGAACUGAGGUCGUCAGGUCAUGUGAGCACUAGAUGAGGCACCAAUGGUGCCUCAAGAUGACCACUGUGUACGUGUGACCCAGACCAACACUGCUACUGAAAAUCUCUGAUCAACGGCACUGGGAUGCACCGACACCUGAAAUGGAGCACCCACAGGAACAUCACUUGAAGAAGAACCUAGAUGUCAAAAUCAGUACAUAACCACCCUUCCACGAAAGCAACAACAGAAACUUGGGAUAAUUUGCUUAGAAAAGUUAAGCCUAUAUUCCUCACUUCUAAAGCCUGUAUUAGAUACUAUAGAAUGUGACCCCAAUAAAUACCUGGGAAUUUUUGACAUUUGGGAAUGUAUAGGUAUAUCAAAAUUUGGCCAGCUGUUUAGAGAGAAUACAUUUAGAUCAGUUGAUGAAAGACAACAACUUGCAAAAGACAUCAAAAUUUCAUUAUACCAAUAUCUAUGAUUAAGACAUUUUCACAAAAAGGGAAACCUAUGCAGAAAAUUGAUGGAAUCUGAAAAAUUACUCAGUAAAUCCAUGAAACUUCUCACUUUAUACAAAGUAAUUUCAAACUUACUUAAAGGAAAUAAUUAAAUUUGUGAAAAGUUGAUGUAGCCAUAGACACCAAAAUUAAGGAAUGGAGAAUAUAUGGGACAAUGAUGCCCACACCUCAUUAAAGGUAUUAAUACAAGAAAAUUGUUACAGUUCUUUAUCAUUGGUAUCUAAUCCCUUUAAAGUGAGUAUAUGGUACAGGGAUGGGCAAAGAAUGAAGAGAAUGUAUUUAAAUGGUAGGAUUUCUCCAUAAUUGGUGGAUAUGCCCAAAAAUUAAGACACUUUGCAAAGCCAUUGGAGACUCCAUAAGGGAGAUAACUGUGUCAGUUAGUCAGAUAACUCCUUAGUAUUUUUAUUAAAUUGUCCUAGAAACUAAGCAUCUUAUAAAAUAACUGAUUACUCAUUCCCUAGUUGGUGCUAGAAUUAUUAUACCAAGGUGGUGGAAGAGGAAUGACUCCCCUAAAAUUAUAGACUGGUAUCAAAAUAUUUGGGAAAUUCUGGUAUUAAAAAAUUAAUUCAAGUCAAGUUCUACAGUGGAGAAGGAAAAAAUGGUAACUACUGAGGCUAUGUCUACACUAUGCAGACUAUAUCGGAAUAGCUACAUCUCCAUACCUAUGCCGGCAUGGCCCUGUAGUGUAGAGGCAGCCUAUGCUGAAGAGAUUUUUCUUUAGGUGUAGGAACACCACCUGUCCUGAUGCCUGUAGCUACACUUUCUUCCAUCGAUAUAGCUAUACCUAUGCUGGGGGCUAGGUUGGUAUAACUAUGUUGGUCAGUGGUGUGUACUGCCAUUUUUGUGUUUUUUCACAUCUCUGAGCACUGCAACUAUGUUGACCUGUUAAGUGUAUACCAGGCCUUAGAAAUGUGGUGAAACUUUUUGGAGUUUGGUGGAAGAGGAUCAUCUCCUGCCAUCAAGCCUACAGUUUGAAAACUUUUUCUGAAUACUAGGUUAGGGGGAAACCCCUUCAACAAUAGUCGAAAUUUAAGUCAAAAUUAAGAUAUUAAAAUAAGGAAAAUAGGAGGAAAAAGGAGAAAAGCUUAAUCAUAGAAUUGUAGGACUGGAAGGGACCUUGAUAGGUCACCUUCUCCAGUCCCUUGCACUGAGGCAGGAUUAAGUAUUAUCUAGACCAUUCCUGACAGGUGUUUGUCUAACCUAUUCUUAAAAACCUCAAAUUGCUGGAGAUUCCAUAACCGCCCUAGCUAAUUUGUUUCAGUGUUUAUCUACCUUUAAGGUAGGAAGCUUUAUCUAAUAUCUAACCUAAAUCUCCCUUGCUGCAAUUUAUGCUAAUUACUACUUGUCCUGUCUUCAGUGGUUAAGGAGAACAAUUUAUCACAAUCCUCUUUAUAACAACCUUUUAUGUUCUUGAAGACUGUUUCCCCCUCAGUCUUCUCUUCUCCAGACUAAACAAACCCAAUUUUUUCAAUCUUUCACCAUAAGUAAUGUUUUCUAGACCUUCCGUCAUUUUUGUUUCUCUCCUCUGAACUUUCUCUAAUUUGUCCACAUAUUUCCUGAAGUGCAGAGGUCAGAACUGGACACAGUACUCCUGUUGAGGCCUUAUCACGGCUGAGUAGAGUGGAAGAACUACUUCUCGUGUCUUGCUUACAACACUCCUGCUAAUGCAUCCCAGAAUUAUGUUUGGUUUUUUUGCAACAGUAUUAUAUUGUUGACUCAUAUUUAGUUUUUGAUCCACUAUAACCCCCAGAUCUUUCUCUGCAGUACUUCUUCCGAUGCAGUCAUUUCACAUUUUGUAUUUCUGCAAUUGAGUUUUCCUUCCUAAGUGUAGUACUGUGCGUUUGUCCUUAUUGAAUUUAAUCCUAUUCAUUUCAGACUAUUUAUCAAGAUCAUUUUGAAUUCUAAGCCUGCCCUCCAAAGCUCUUGCAAGGCCACCCAGCUUAGUAUAAGCUGCAAACUUUAUGAGUGUACUCUCUGUGCCAGUGGUUUUCAACCUGUGGUCCGCAGACUAUGUCUAAGAUUUCCAAAGAGGUUGACACCUCCAUUUGAAAUUUUUUAGGGGUCCUCAAAUGAAAAAAGGUUGAAAACCACUGCUGUAUGCCAUUAUCCAAAUCAUUUAUGAAGAUACUGAAUAGAACCACAGCCAGGACAGAUCCCUGUGGGAACCCACUCAAUAUGCCCUUCCAGCUUGACUGUGAACCGUUGAUAACUACUCUGAGUACAGUUUUCCAACCAGCUGUGCAUCCAUCUUAUAGUCAAUUCCUCUAGACUGUAUUUCCCUAGUACAUUUGAAAAUGUCAUGUGAGACAGUAUCAAAAAUCCUUCUAAAUUUGAGAUAUUAAUAUUGUGUAGUGGUCUUAUAGGAUAACCAAUAAACAGGUUGUGCACCUACAUGUACCAAAAACAGAAGUUUGGGCCUAAACAUGAGAUAAUGCAAGACUUUAACCAACACUAUCAACUGACAAGACAAAAGAGGAAGAUGAAGAGUAGAAUAUCGUGAACCACAAUAUGUGAUCAAGACCAAAAAGUUGAAGAAAAUGACUGGUAGUAGGCCUUGUGCACACAGCUUUAGGGACUUAUAUAGGCCAGUUCAGAAUUAUAUAUUUGUGUAUGUUUGUCUUUAAGUUGUAAAACAUGUUUUAUAAGAUUUAUGUUAUAAAAGAAUGGCUCUAUUAAUUAAUAAAAUAAAAAAUAACAGCCUGUUAUAACCAAA
Long non-coding RNA from Dermochelys coriacea (leatherback sea turtle), 8975 nucleotides. RefSeq lists it as uncharacterized. Lineage: Eukaryota; Metazoa; Chordata; Testudines; Dermochelyidae. The transcript has 5 exons. The record is from RefSeq and is a predicted model, not a curated record.